This is a long non-coding RNA of Limanda limanda (common dab), 653 nucleotides long. RefSeq lists it as uncharacterized. The transcript is spliced from 3 exons. Lineage: Eukaryota; Metazoa; Chordata; Actinopteri; Pleuronectiformes; Pleuronectidae. The record is from RefSeq and is a predicted model, not a curated record.
AGCAACUCUGUCGUGGACACAUUUACAACUGAUCACUGCUGUACUGAACUGAGAGCGACGACACUGAGGCAGUGAAGGUUUAACUGGGCUGCGGCACCUGGAGCUUGUGUGGAUUCAGUUUGUUCUCAAAGGACAUUUCAACAGGACAAACUGCAUCAAGGAAGAAACAUGGUUGCUCAGAGACUUGGCACUUCAAUAAAAGGGUUACAGUGGAAAUCAACUUCAAGUCCUAGAAUAUCAGAGGAAAACAAACACCAACAAAAAGCAACCGGCUCUUAUCGGAGCCUGGAUCAUCCACACCGUAUGACACGACAUGGACUCAUUUAAAGACGGACUUCAGGGAACUGAAUCUGAGACAAAAAGAUCGUGUUGGAGGCUGAUGGUGGAUCCUGAUAGUUGUGGUGGUGGAUCCUGAUGAUGGAUUAUGGAGCGUGAUCGUGGUGGCAGCUGAUCAUGGACAAUGAUAACAACAAGACUACUUCACAUACUAUUCAUCUGCUCACAUACUCCACCAUUACUUACAAUUAGGGUUGGGUACCGAUACAACCGGUACCUACCCGGACCGAAAUGCAACGGAGAUUUCGGUGCUUCAUUUCGGUGCCUGAGCCAAUGGAAGACUGAGGUCUCCGCUCCUCCCGCCUCCUCACACUUCC